GGACUUACUGCAAAUCCUGCCCUUAGGGCAAAUUCCUACCUAUUCCUGCGGAAGCAUGUGUAUCAUUCCCCUAUGGUUUAUAACCCCUGAGUCUGGGGGUAAUGGCACGGGGACCCACCAGCUUGUCUGCCGCCAUCUGGGGUACAGUGCUGGAAGCGGGGAUACAGGGACAAAUAAGACACAGAUCCUGUUCCUAAAGAGUUUUUUGAGAUGAAGUCUCGUUCUUGUCCCCCAGGCUGGAGUGCAAUGGCAUGAUCUCAGCUCACUGCAACCUCUGCCUCCCGGGUUCAAGCAAUUCUCCUGUCUCAGCCUCCUGAGUAGCUGGAUUACAGAGUCUUUUCUAAGGCACCAACUACUUCCUUCAAGCAGCAGCCAGAGAUCUUUGCUUAAUGGCUGAGAAACACAGAGGAGAGACCCAGAGAGAAGGAGAAGGCCGCAUGAAGAUGGAGCAGAGACUGGAGUUAUUCAGCCAAGUCAAGGAAUGCCUGGAGCACCAGAAGCCGGAAGAGGCAAGGAAGGAUCCUCCCUUAGAGCAUUUGGAAGAGUGUGGCCCUGCCAACACCUUGACUUCAAACUUCUGGCCUCCAUAACUAUGAAAUAAAUUCUUGUUGUUUUAAGCCACCAAGUUUGUGGUAACUUCUUACAGCAACCCUAGGAAAUUAACACACAGAGUGUCAGUUACCUAAACAUUGUGAGCCUCAGUUACCUUAUCUGAAAAUGGGGCUAAAACUUAGACCUACCUUUUAGGGCUGCUUUAAGGAGUAAUAGAAAUUAUACAUGGGAAUUACAUGGCACCAAGUUGUUCCUUAAUAGAGGGAAACUGUUAUGAUGGCGGAAGAGCAGUAAUGAAAUACUGAAUUCAUCCAGCAGAUGGCAGAAGAUGGAUUUGCAAACAAGAGGACUUCAUAAGGUUUGCUGCCCAGCAAUGCAGCUCCAGGCCUAAAGUAGCCUUCCUAGCUCACAGACUGAUGAGGAUUAACCCUCGCCAACUCAAGUGUGCUCUCAGCUCUGUAGAAACUAAACUAAUUCUGUUUUCCUUUGACCAUUGUACACCACAGAGGCUGGCAAUGGAGAAUAUAAAGAGUGGUGCAACAGAAAAUACCUGGGUUCUAGGCUCAGCUCUGUCACCUCAUUAGGAUUCAGUUUGCCCAUCUGUAAAGUAGUGACAAGAUGAAAUACCAAGUGUAACGUAAUUAAAGGGCUGUUGUGAUACCAAAAUAACAUAAUGUGUAAAAGUGCUAAAAACAAGAUGCCAUAAAGCACAGAAGGGGCCCAGGAGAGAUUAAUUCAUGGAGAACUUACUCGUUUUUUUGAGACAGAGUCUCACUGUGUUGCUCAGGCUGCAGUGCAGUGGCGCGAUCUCAGCUAACUGCAAUGUCUGCCUCCUGGGUUCAAGUGAUUCUUGUGCCUCAGCCUCCUGAGUAGCUGAGACUACAGGUGCACGCCACCAAGCCUGGCUAACAUUUUUUGUAUUUUUAGUAGAGAUGGGGAUUUCACCAUGUUGGCCAGGCUGUUCUCAAACUCCUGUCCUCAAGAGAUCCGCCCACCUUGGCCUCCCAAAGUGCUGGGAUUACAGGCAUGAGCCACUGUGCCUGGCCUAAUUAAUGGAUAACUUCUGCAAGAAUCCAGGGUCACGGUUGAUUUGUUUAUUCAUUUAUUCACUCAGCAAACAUUUCUUUGUGCCAGGCAUUGUGCUAGGUCCAGGGAAUACUGCUUACGUUGGAGAAGUUCGCAUUCUAGUUUGGGUGGACAAACAUGUGAUAAAGAUGUGUACAGGGCAUAGUUUUCUCUCAGCAGCUAGGGUAACAUUCCAACUCCAUGUUUUGGUUUAAGAAACACAUUUGAUUUUAUUUAAAAUAUUAUAUAUUUUCUCUUUUAUUUCUUUUCCCUAUUUACAAUAAGGCUUACUUGCAAAAUUAAGAAAUACAUUUGAGUGGGUAGUUCCCUUGGUAAAACAUUUAUAUUUCCUUCUUAAUUUCUUUGUAAAAGUCUACUCUUAAACACUACUAUUUAGAGUUAAGUGAGAAAAGAAAAUUGCAGGACAGAAUGCACAGAAAGAUCUAUUUAUCUAUCUACAUAAAAACUGGAAGAAUACACUCCCAUACUGUUAACAGUGGCUACCUCUAGGGAAAGGGUGAAGUGAUAUUUGAAAAAAUGGGGCUUUUACCUUUUCUUUUCUUUCCUUUU
Molecule: long non-coding RNA, 2187 nt
Filed under: Homo sapiens (human)
Lineage: Eukaryota; Metazoa; Chordata; Mammalia; Primates; Hominidae
Description: HSALNT0008456
Source: RNAcentral